Molecule: ribosomal RNA, 497 nt
Filed under: uncultured bacterium
Lineage: Bacteria
Description: partial 16S ribosomal RNA
Rfam family: Bacterial small subunit ribosomal RNA
Source: RNAcentral
GACGAACGCUGGCGGCGUGCCUAAUACAUGCAAGUAGAACGCUGAAGCGAGGAGCUUCCUCUUCUUGGAUGAGUUGCGAACGGGUGAGUAACGCGUAGGUAACCUGCCUUGUAGCGGGGGAUAACUAUUGGAAACGAUAGCUAAUACCGCAUAACAAUGGAUGACACAUGUCAUUUAUUUGAAAGGGGCAAUUGCUCCACUACAAGAUGGACCUGCGUUGUAUUAGCUAGUAGGUGAGGUAAUGGCUCACCUAGGCGACGAUACAUAGCCGACCUGAGAGGGUGGUCGGCCACACUGGGACGGGGAAACGGCCCAGAAUCCUGAGGGAGGCAGCAGGAGGGAAUCUUCGGCAAUGGGGGCAAACCUGACCGAGCAACGCCGCGGGAGUGAAGAAGGUUUUCGGAUCGUAAAGCUCUGUUGUAAGUCAAGAACGGGUGUGAGAGUGGAAAGUUCACACUGUGACGGUAGCUUACCAGAAAGGGACGGCUAACUACGUG